RNAcentral lists this ribosomal RNA (688 nucleotides) under uncultured bacterium. RNAcentral describes it as "bacterial SSU rRNA". It matches the Rfam family "Bacterial small subunit ribosomal RNA", at positions 140 to 826 of the family's 1533-position model. The record is from RNAcentral.
GGGACAACCCGCCGAAAGGCGGGCUAAACCCGCGUACAUGCCACCGGGGCAUCCCGGAGGCAGGAAAGGCUUCGGCCGGACAGGGAUGGGCAUGCGGCGCAUUAGGCAGUAGGCGGGGUAACGGCCCACCUAACCGACGAUGCGUAGGGGUUCUGAGAGGAAGGUCCCCCACACUGGUACUGAGACACGGACCAGACUCCUACGGGAGGCAGCAGUGAGGAAUAUUGGUCAAUGGUCGGGAGACUGAACCAGCCAGGCCGCGUGAGGGAGGAAGGUACAGAGUAUCGUAAACCUCUUUUGUCAGGGAACAAAGACUGGGACGCGUCCCCGGAUGAGUGUACCUGAAGAAAAAGCAUCGGCUAACUCCGUGCCAGCAGCCGCGGUAAUACGGAGGAUGCGAGCGUUAUCCGGAUUUAUUGGGUUUAAAGGGUGCGCAGGCGGUCUGUUAAGUCAGCGGUCAAAGCCCGGGGCUCAACCCCGGCCCGCCGUUGAAACUGGCAGUCUCGAGUUGGAGAGAAGUAUGCAGAAUGCGCGGUGUAGCGGUGAAAUGCAUAGAUAUCGCGCAGAACUCCGAUUGCGAAGGCAGCAUGCCGGCUCCACACUGACGCUGAGGCACGAAAGCGUGGGUAUCGAACAGGAUUAGAUACCCUGGUAGUCCACGCAGUAAACGAUGAAUGCUGGCUGUCCG